GACGAACGCUGGCGGCGUGCUUAACACAUGCAAGUCGAACGGAAAGGCCCUGCUUUUGUGGGGUGCUCGAGUGGCGAACGGGUGAGUAACACGUGAGUAACCUGCCCUUGACUUUGGGAUAACUUCAGGAAACUGGGGCUAAUACCGGAUAGGAGCUCCUGCUGCAUGGUGGUGGUUGGAAAGUUUCGGCGGUUGGGGAUGGACUCGCGGCUUAUCAGCUUGUUGGUGGGGUAGUGGCUUACCACGGCUUUGACGGGUAGCCGGCCUGCGAGGGUGACCGGCCACAUUGGGACUGAGAUACGGCCCAGACUCCUACGGGAGGCAGCAGUGGGGAAUAUUGCACAAUGGGCGGAAGCCUGAUGCAGCAACGCCGCGUGCGGGAUGACGGCCUUCGGGUUGUAAACCGCUUUCGCCUGUGACGAAGCGUGAGUGACGGUAAUGGGUAAAGAAGCACCGGCUAACUACGUG
This 468-nucleotide ribosomal RNA is filed under the name uncultured bacterium. RNAcentral describes it as "partial 16S ribosomal RNA". It matches the Rfam family "Bacterial small subunit ribosomal RNA", at positions 28 to 507 of the family's 1533-position model. The record is from RNAcentral.